This is a long non-coding RNA of Hemicordylus capensis (graceful crag lizard), 471 nucleotides long. RefSeq lists it as uncharacterized. The transcript is spliced from 2 exons. NCBI's taxonomy places the organism in Eukaryota, Metazoa, Chordata, Lepidosauria, Squamata, Cordylidae. The record is from RefSeq and is a predicted model, not a curated record.
CUCGUUGAAGGCAGAGGCUGCCACAGAGUCCUCUGAGAGAGACCUCUCCACACUGCCGGUCUGCAUGGCCGUAAUGGAGGUGGUGCACGAAUGAUCAGGUUGAGACAAAAACAGCUGGGGUCCACCGUCUCCCUUUCCCCCUGACUCAUGGCUGGGCUGAACAAUGGGAUGCAAUCAGAGGUGCACCUAGGUAAUUUUGGAGCCUGGGCCUAAAGGCCUUUGGAGGCCCACCUCCCCUGCAAAUUAAACAUCAUCAUGCUCGGCUGGAUGACCACAACACCUGAGGAUAUUCUAAAGAGGAUUUGAGGGGGCCCCAAGGGCUGUGGAGGCCAUGGACUUCAGCCCGGAAGACCACGGGGGUCUUCUAAUGAGGUCAUCUGAUGUCAGCUAGAGGACAAUCCAAUCAGAAGAAGAAUGUGCUAAGGGGCUGAAUUAACAAUGAUGAACAAUAAAACAACUGCAAUUUCUCAA